GACGAACGCUGGCGGCGUGCUUAACACAUGCAAGUCGUACGGUAAGGCCCUUUCGGGGGUCCACGAGUGGCGAACGGGUGAGUAACACGUGAGUAACCUGCCCACAACUUUGGGAUAACGCUAGGAAACUGGUGCUAAUACUGGAUAUGUGCUCCUGCUGCAUGGUGGGGGUUGGAAAGCUCCGGCGGUUGUGGAUGGACUCGCGGCCUAUCAGCUUGUUGGUGGGGUAGUGGCCUACCAAGGCGGCGACGGGUAGCCGGCCUGAGAGGGUGACCGGCCACAUUGGGACUGAGAUACGGCCCAGACUCCUACGGGAGGCAGCAGUGGGGAAUAUUGCACAAUGGGCGCAAGCCUAAUGCAGCAACGCCGCGUGCGGGAUGACGGCCUUCGGGUUGUAAACCGCUUUCAGCAGGGACGAAGCUUUUUGUGACGGUACCUGCAGAAGAAGCACCGGCUAACUACGUG
RNAcentral lists this ribosomal RNA (465 nucleotides) under uncultured bacterium. Its description in RNAcentral is "partial 16S ribosomal RNA". It matches the Rfam family "Bacterial small subunit ribosomal RNA", at positions 28 to 507 of the family's 1533-position model. The record is from RNAcentral.